CCUGGUUGAUUCUGCCAGUAGUCAUAUGCUUGUCUCAAAGAUUAAGCCAUGCAUGUCUAAGUAUAAGCAAUCUAUACGGUGAAACUGCGAAUGGCUCAUUAAAUCAGUUAUCGUUUAUUUGAUAGUACCUUACUACUUGGAUAACCGUGGUAAUUCUAGAGCUAAUACAUGCUAAAAACCUCGACUUCGGAAGGGGUGUAUUUAUUAGAUAAAAAACCAAUGCCCUUCGGGGCUCCUUGGUGAUUCAUAAUAACUUAACGAAUCGCAUGGCCUUGUGCCGGCGAUGGUUCAUUCAAAUUUCUGCCCUAUCAACUUUCGAUGGUAGGAUAGUGGCCUACCAUGGUUUCAACGGGUAACGGGGAAUUAGGGUUCUAUUCCGGAGAGGGAGCCUGAGAAACGGCUGCCACAUCCAAGGAAGGCAGCAGGCGCGCAAAUUACCCAAUCCCGACACGGGGAGGUAGUGACAAUAAAUACUGAUACAGGGCUCUUUUGGGUCUUGUAAUUGGAAUGAGUACAAUUUAAAUCCCUUAACGAGGAACAAUUGGAGGGCAAGUCUGGUGCCAGCAGCCGCGGUAAUUCCAGCUCCAAUAGCGUAUAUUAAAGUUGUUGCAGUUAAAAAGCUCGUAGUUGAACCUUGAGCCUGGCUGGCCGGUCCGCCUCACCGCGUGCACUGGUCCGGCCGGGUUUUUCCUUCUGGGGAGCCGCAUGCCCUUCACUGGGUGUGUCGGGGAACCAGGACUUUUACUUUGAAAAAAUUAGAGUGUUCAAAGCAGGCCUAUGCUCGAAUACAUUAGCAUGGAAUAAUAGAAUAGGACGUGUGGUUCUAUUUUGUUGGUUUCUAGGACCGCCGUAAUGAUUAAUAGGGAUAGUCGGGGGCAUCAGUAUUCAAUUGUCAGAGGUGAAAUUCUUGGAUUUAUUGAAGACUAACUACUGCGAAAGCAUUUGCCAAGGAUGUUUUCAUUAAUCAGUGAACGAAAGUUAGGGGAUCGAAGACGAUCAGAUACCGUCGUAGUCUUAACCAUAAACUAUGCCGACUAGGGAUCGGGCGAUGUUAUUUUUUUGACUCGCUCGGCACCUUACGAGAAAUCAAAGUCUUUGGGUUCUG
This 1105-nucleotide ribosomal RNA is filed under the name marine metagenome. Its description in RNAcentral is "SSU rRNA". It matches the Rfam family "Eukaryotic small subunit ribosomal RNA", at positions 4 to 1116 of the family's 1831-position model. The record is from RNAcentral.